This 433-nucleotide ribosomal RNA is filed under the name uncultured bacterium. RNAcentral describes it as "partial 16S ribosomal RNA". It matches the Rfam family "Bacterial small subunit ribosomal RNA", at positions 29 to 507 of the family's 1533-position model. The record is from RNAcentral.
AACGAACGCUGGCGGCAUGCCUAACACAUGCAAGUCGAACGAGCCCUUCGGGUCUAGUGUCGCACGGGUUCGUAACGCGUGGGAACCUGCCCUUAGGUUCGGAAUAACUCCCCGAAAGGGGUGCUUAUACCGGAUCAUGUCUUCGGACCAAAGAUUUAUCGCCUUUGGAUGUGCCCGCGUUGGAUUAGCUAGUUGGUAGGGUAAAAGCCUACCAAGGCGACGAUCCAUAGAUGGUCUGAGAGGAUGGUCAGCGACACUGGGACUGAGACACGGCCGAGACUCCUACGGGAGGGAGCAGUGGGGAAUAUUGGACAAUGGGCGAAAGCCUGAUCCAGCAAGGACGCGUGAGUGAUGAAGGCAUUAGGGUUGUAAAGCGCUUUUACCCGGGAUGAUAAUGACAGUACCGGGAGAAUAAGCUCCGGCUAACUCCGUG